This 497-nucleotide ribosomal RNA is filed under the name uncultured bacterium. RNAcentral describes it as "partial 16S ribosomal RNA". It matches the Rfam family "Bacterial small subunit ribosomal RNA", at positions 30 to 523 of the family's 1533-position model. The record is from RNAcentral.
AUUGAACGCUGGCGGCAUGCCUUACACAUGCAAGUCGAACGGUAACAGGUCUUCGGAUGCUGACGAGUGGCGAACGGGUGAGUAAUUCAUCGGAACGUGCCCGAUCGUGGGGGAUAACGAAGCGAAAGCUUUUCUAAUACCGCAUAAGAUCUACGGAUGAAAGCAGGGGACCGCAAGGCCUUGCGCGAACGGAGCGGCCGAUGGCAGAUUGGGUAGUUGGUGGGAUGAAAGCUUACCAAGCCGACGAUCCGUAGCUGGUCUGAGAGGACGACCAGCCACACGGGGACUGAGACACGGCCAGACUCCUACGGGAGGCAGCAGUGGGGAAUUUUGGACAAUGGGCGAAAGCCUGAUCCAGCCAUGCCGCGUGCAGGAUGAAGGCCUUCGGGUUGUGAACUGCUUUUGUACGGAACGAAAAACCUUCUCCUAAUACGAGAGGCCCAUGACGGUACCGUAAGAAUAAGCACCGGCUAACUACGUGCCAGCCGCCGCCGUAA